UACGGAGGGGGCAAGCGUUAAUCGGAAUUACCGGGCGUAAAGCGAGCGAAGGCGGUUAUUUAAGUCGGGUGUGAAAGCCCCGGGCUCAACCUGGGAAUUGCAUUCGAUACUGGAUAGCUAGAGUUCGGCAGAGGGAAGCGGAAUUUCCGGUGUAGCGGUGAAAUGCGUAGAUAUCGGGAGGAACAUCAGUGGCGAAAGCGGCUUCCUGGACCGGAACUGACGAUCAGGCUCGAAAGCGUGGGGAGCAAACAGG
RNAcentral lists this ribosomal RNA (253 nucleotides) under uncultured bacterium. Its description in RNAcentral is "partial 16S ribosomal RNA". It matches the Rfam family "Bacterial small subunit ribosomal RNA", at positions 524 to 776 of the family's 1533-position model. The record is from RNAcentral.